AUUGAACGCUGGCGGCAGGCCUAACACAUGCAAGUCGAGCGGAUGAAGGGAGCUUGCUCCUGGAUUCAGCGGCGGACGGGUGAGUAAUGCCUAGGAAUCUGCCUGGUAGUGGGGGAUAACGUCCGGAAACGGGCGCUAAUACCGCAUACGUCCUGAGGGAGAAAGUGGGGGAUCUUCGGACCUCACGCUAUCAGAUGAGCCUAGGUCGGAUUAGCUAGUUGGUGGGGUAAAGGCCUACCAAGGCGACGAUCCGUAACUGGUCUGAGAGGAUGAUCAGUCACACUGGAACUGAGACACGGUCCAGACUCCUACGGGAGGCAGCAGUGGGGAAUAUUGGACAAUGGGCGAAAGCCUGAUCCAGCCAUGCCGCGUGUGUGAAGAAGGUCUUCGGAUUGUAAAGCACUUUAAGUUAGGAGGAAGGGCAGUAAGUUAAUACCUUGCUGUUUUGACGUUACCAACAGAACAAGCACCGGCUAACUUCGUG
This 484-nucleotide ribosomal RNA is filed under the name uncultured bacterium. RNAcentral describes it as "partial 16S ribosomal RNA". It matches the Rfam family "Bacterial small subunit ribosomal RNA", at positions 30 to 507 of the family's 1533-position model. The record is from RNAcentral.